RNAcentral lists this small RNA (463 nucleotides) under Pongo abelii (Sumatran orangutan). Its description in RNAcentral is "retained intron". The record is from RNAcentral. Lineage: Eukaryota; Metazoa; Chordata; Mammalia; Primates; Hominidae.
GUCUGCCCUGCCACGGUCGUGGGGGGAUCCAGGCUGCCCCUGUGUGUCUCCUCCAGUCUUCGUCAGCUGCCUGCUGCUGUCUGCACCUGUGUUUGGCUACCUGGGUGACCGACAUAGCCGCAAGGCCACCAUGAGCUUCGGGAUCUUGCUGUGGUCAGGAGCUGGCCUCUCUAGCUCCUUCAUCUCCCCCCGGUAUUCUUGGCUCUUCUUCCUGUCCCGGGGCAUCGUGGGCACUGGCUCGGCCAGCUACUCCACCAUCGCGCCCACCGUCCUGGGCGACCUCUUCGUGAGGGACCAGCGCACCCGCGUGCUGGCCGUCUUCUACAUCUUUAUCCCCGUUGGAAGUGGUCUGGGCUACGUGCUGGGGUCGGCUGUGACGAUGCUGACUGGGAACUGGCGCUGGGCCCUCCGAAUCAUGCCCUGCCUGGAGGCCAUGGCCUUGAUCCUGCUUAUCCUGCUGGUU